UUUUAUGAGAGUUUGAUCCUGGCUCAGGACGAACGCUGGCGGCGUGCCUAAUACAUGCAAGUCGAGCGGACCUUUGGGAGCUUGCUCCCAAAGGUUAGC
RNAcentral lists this ribosomal RNA (99 nucleotides) under Lederbergia citrea. RNAcentral describes it as "partial 16S ribosomal RNA". It matches the Rfam family "Bacterial small subunit ribosomal RNA", at positions 1 to 96 of the family's 1533-position model. The record is from RNAcentral. Lineage: Bacteria; Bacillati; Bacillota; Bacilli; Caryophanales; Bacillaceae.